AUACGUAGGUGGCGAGCGUUGUCCGGAAUUAUUGGGCGUAAAGAGCAUGUAGGCGGCUUAAUAAGUCGAGCGUGAAAAUGCGGGGCUCAACCCCGUAUGGCGCUGGAAACUGUUAGGCUUGAGUGCAGGAGAGGAAAGGGGAAUUCCCAGUGUAGCGGUGAAAUGCGUAGAUAUUGGGAGGAACACCAGUGGCGAAGGCGCCUUUCUGGACUGUGUCUGACGCUGAAAUGCGAAGGCCAGGGUAGCGAACGGGAUUAGAUACCCCGGUAGUCCUGGCCGUAAACGAUGGGUACUAGGUGUAGGAGGUAUCGACCCCUUCUGUGCCGGAGUUAACGCAAUAAGUACCCCGCCUGGGGAGUACGGCCGCAAGGUUGAAACUCAAAUGAAUUGACGGGG
RNAcentral lists this ribosomal RNA (396 nucleotides) under uncultured bacterium. RNAcentral's name for it is "partial 16S ribosomal RNA". It matches the Rfam family "Bacterial small subunit ribosomal RNA", at positions 523 to 918 of the family's 1533-position model. The record is from RNAcentral.